UACGAAGGGUGCAAGCGUUACUCGGAAUUACUGGGCGUAAAGCGCACGUAGGCGGCUCUUUAAGUCGGGGGUGAAAUCCUGGAGCUCAACUCCAGAACUGCCUUCGAUACUGAAGAGCUCGAGUCCGGGAGAGGUGAGUGGAACUGCGAGUGUAGAGGUGAAAUUCGUAGAUAUUCGCAAGAACACCAGUGGCGAAGGCGGCUCACUGGCCCGGUACUGACGCUGAGGUGCGAAAGCGUGGGGAGCAAACAGG
Molecule: ribosomal RNA, 253 nt
Filed under: uncultured bacterium
Lineage: Bacteria
Description: partial 16S ribosomal RNA
Rfam family: Bacterial small subunit ribosomal RNA
Source: RNAcentral